UACGUAGGGGGCAAGCGUUGUCCGGAUUUACUGGGCGUAAAGCGCGUGUAGGCGGCCACACAGGUCCGUUGUGAAAACUGGAGGCUCAACCUCCAGACGUCGACGGAAACCGUAUGGCUAGAGUCCGGAAGAGGAGAGUGGAAUUCCUGGUGUAGCGGUGAAAUGCGCAGAUAUCAGGAAGAACACCAAUGGCGAAGGCAGCUCUCUGGGACGGUACUGACGCUGAGACGCGAAAGCGUGGGGAGCGAACAGGAUUAGAUACCCCUGUAGUCC
This 273-nucleotide ribosomal RNA is filed under the name uncultured bacterium. RNAcentral describes it as "partial 16S ribosomal RNA". It matches the Rfam family "Bacterial small subunit ribosomal RNA", at positions 524 to 796 of the family's 1533-position model. The record is from RNAcentral.